Molecule: transfer RNA, 73 nt
Filed under: Solemya velum gill symbiont
Lineage: Bacteria; Pseudomonadati; Pseudomonadota; Gammaproteobacteria
Description: tRNA-Val
Rfam family: tRNA
About the family: Transfer RNA (tRNA) molecules are approximately 80 nucleotides in length. Their secondary structure includes four short double-helical elements and three loops (D, anti-codon, and T loops).
Source: RNAcentral
GGUUUCGUGGUGUAGUGGUUAUCACGUCUGCUUUACACGCAGAAGGUCGCGAGUUCGAGCCUCGCCGAAACCU